GGGAACAGCAUCUUGGACUUCUCAUGGUAGGGGUGAAGUUUAGGUAUACAUGUGGGAUUAUACUUAUCUACCGUCUCAAAGCAGGGAUAAGCUAAAUAACAAAUUUAUGGUCUCUGAAGCACUGCAAUAGUCUUUCAUGGCUACCACACUUGCAUGUGCAUCAUCUCUGCCAUGGAUUUGGGUGAUUGAAGCAUUGGCAAGUUCCCGUGAGAUUGACACAUCUUUACUCAUCAAUUUGGUUAAGAAGACUCCUGCAAUCUCUGAUGAUCUGGGGAGAAAUGCAAGGGAAAUGGUUUCCUUGAGACUUUUAGAGAGCUUAUUUGUUCGGGAAAACUCAGAUGCAAAUAGUGUCGC
Molecule: unclassified non-coding RNA, 354 nt
Filed under: Hevea brasiliensis (rubber tree)
Lineage: Eukaryota; Viridiplantae; Streptophyta; Magnoliopsida; Malpighiales; Euphorbiaceae
Source: RNAcentral